Molecule: ribosomal RNA, 250 nt
Filed under: uncultured bacterium
Lineage: Bacteria
Description: partial 16S ribosomal RNA
Rfam family: Bacterial small subunit ribosomal RNA
Source: RNAcentral
UACGGAGGGGGCAAGCGUUGUUCGGAAUUACUGGGCGUAAAGAGCACGUAGGCGGUUUAUCAAGUUAGGCGUGAAAGCCCUGGGCUCAACCCAGGAAUUGCGUUUAAGACUGAUAGACUAGAGAUCGGGAGAGGGUAGCGGAAUUCCAAGUGUAGAGGUGAAAUUCGUAGAUAUUUGGAAGAACACCGGUGGCGAAGGCGGCUACCUGGACCGACACUGACGCUGAGGUGCGAAAGCGUGGGGAGCGAAC